This 446-nucleotide ribosomal RNA is filed under the name uncultured bacterium. RNAcentral describes it as "partial 16S ribosomal RNA". It matches the Rfam family "Bacterial small subunit ribosomal RNA", at positions 338 to 795 of the family's 1533-position model. The record is from RNAcentral.
CCUACGGGGGGCAGCAGUCGAGAAUCAUUCACAAUGGGGGAAACUCUGAUGGUGCGACGCCGCGUGGGGGAAUGAAGGUCUUCGGAUUGUAAACCCCUGUCAUGUGGGAGCAAAUUAAAAAGAUAGUACCACAAGAGGAAGAGACGGCUAACUCUGUGCCAGCAGCCGCGGUAAUACAGAGGUCUCAAGCGUUGUUCGGAAUCACUGGGCGUAAAGCGUGCGUAGGCGGUUUGGUAAGUCGUGUGUGAAAGGCGCGGGCUCAACCCGCGGACGGCACAUGAUACUGCGAGACUAGAGUAAUGGAGGGGGAGCCGGAAUUCUCGGUGUAGCAGUGAAAUGCGUAGAUAUCGAGAAGAACACUCGUGGCGAAGGCGGGUUCCUAGACAUUAACUGACACUGAGGCACGAAGGUCAGGGGAGCGAAAGGGAUUAGAUACCCGAGUAGUC